AUGGCUUGGGGAUUGGCAGCUCAUUCUCCAUCUCCCCCUGAGCUGGUCCUGCUGGCCCCCUCCCAGGACCUCUCCUCUGGGGACAGGGCUACUGUGGUGUGCCUGGCUCAGGGCUUCUACCCUGACGGUGCCAUCCUGACCUGGUCAGAGGAUGGCAAAGAUGUGGCUGGCACUGAGUUUCAGACGGGCGAGUCUCAGCGCCAGUCUGAUGGCACGUUCUCCCUCAGCAGCGCCCUGACGGUCCAGCCACAACGCUGGCGCUCUGGACACACCUACACCUGUCAGCUGAGCCACUCCGCCCUCUCCAGGCCUCUGAGCAAGAGUGUGGCACAGGGACAGUGCAGCUAGAGUUGGAGAGAGCAGGAUUCAGCCAAGCUACACACGGGACACAGGAAUGCGCUUCUGUGGGUUUGGUGAAUAUUUACCUGCUUAAAAGCAUCCGUGACUACAUUACGCUGUUUUGUUGGUUUACCCUGCAAUGCCUUA
Non-coding RNA from Clupea harengus (Atlantic herring), 486 nucleotides. Lineage: Eukaryota; Metazoa; Chordata; Actinopteri; Clupeiformes; Clupeidae. The record is from the annotation of a RefSeq genome assembly.